Molecule: ribosomal RNA, 200 nt
Filed under: uncultured soil bacterium
Lineage: Bacteria
Description: partial 16S ribosomal RNA
Rfam family: Bacterial small subunit ribosomal RNA
Source: RNAcentral
GAAUGAACGCUGGCGGCGUGCUUUACACAUGCAAGUCGAGCGAGGCGGGUAGCAAUACCCAGUCGAGCGGCGAACGGGUGAGUAACGCGUGGAUGACCUGCCCUGAGGUGGGGAAUAACCCGGGGAAACUCGGGCUAAUACCGCAUAUGACCGUGAGGUCAAAGGAGGGGUCGCAAGAUCUCUUGCCACGAGGGAGGGGU